GACGAACGCUGGCGGCGUGCUUAACACAUGCAAGUCGAACGGAAAGGCCCUGCUUUUGUGGGGUGCUCGAGUGGCGAACUGGUGAGUAACACGUGAGUAACCUGCCCUUGACUUUGGGAUAACUUCAGGAAACUGGGGCUAAUACCGGAUAGGAGCUCCUGCUGCAUGGUGGGGGUUGGAAAGUUUCGGCGGUUGGGGAUGGACUCGCGGCUUAUCAGCUUGUUGGUGGGGUAGUGGCUUACCAAGGCUUUGACGGGUAGCCGGCCUGAGAGGGUGACCGGCCACAUUGGGACUGAGAUACGGCCCAGACUCCUACGGGAGGCAGCAGUGGGGAAUAUUGCACAAUGGACGGAAGCCUGAUGCAGCAACGCCGCGUGCGGGAUGACGGCCUUCGGGUUGUAAACCGCUUUCGCCUGUGACGAAGCGUGAGUGACGGUAAUGGGUAAAGAAGCACCGGCUAACUACGUG
Molecule: ribosomal RNA, 468 nt
Filed under: uncultured bacterium
Lineage: Bacteria
Description: partial 16S ribosomal RNA
Rfam family: Bacterial small subunit ribosomal RNA
Source: RNAcentral